ACCUAGCAAGUAGCAGCGCCACUCUUAGUCUCUCAUAGUCUCUCUCUAACGAAGGAACAUCAAUCCCCAAUCCCCAAUACACAGCCGUCGAGCCCCUUCCUCCCAGCAGCGUUUUCCUUCACCGUCGCCAACUCGCCGAACAGAGCCUCGCGGACAACACCUCGGCGUGGUCCUCUCUCCCUCCCUCCCUCCUUUCGCAGUUCACAGUUGCCGUUUCCCUCCCUCGCGUCGCAUCUUCUCCCAUUCCUUCCCUCGCUCUCGCAGCCUCUCCUUUCCUGCUGUGCUGGUGCUGCUGUUUUAAUUUGUAAAAUAGAAGAUUCGCCUUAAGUAGGAGAAUGAAGGCGUUCCUAGCACUGCAAUAUGCGAGAUUUCUCUCCUCAAGGAAAUGUAGCACAUGAAUAUUGUUAGGUCAAUGUGACUCUCUGGUUUGAGUGGAGCAAGAUCGAGACGCCUAUGGAUGAAGUUGUUGUGCCUUAUGAUAGUCUAGCUCCAACUCCUGAAGGUGUGUGACAGGUGAAAGGAUGCACUUCAGCUUUGCUGCAAUUUGCAAAGACAACAAACAUCCCCGUUCUUUUGGAAGAAAGAUCACCCAAUGCAGUGCAAGAGAAAGGUUUUAAUUUUGAUGAUACUAGGAUUAUGAGAGGAGCAUGGAGGAAUGAGUCUAAUCCUGAUAUCUGCAAGAAGAAGCUAUACAAAGUUUGUCAACUGUGUCCAUGUGUCAUGAGAACAUACAACUGAACUUGAUCAGUUACAUAGGAGUUCUUCAGAUGCCUUGCUAUAUAUCAACAAAUGCACAGAUGCACAGAAAUACGACUCUUCCUAUUUUAAGGGUUUACUAAAAUAGAUGAUUCUCCUCAUAUUUUAUACAUAAUAAUAAAAGGGAGGAUGAUGCACAAAACAUGUCUACCUUGCCCAGCAGUAUCUCAGCAAAUCAACCAACGAUGAUUGCGAACAUAGAUACUAAUGUAGAUAACCUACAAUUUUGAAGAAGCAAGUAUGCAAUUUAAUACAUUUACCUUACUGUAUCAACUGCCAAGUCUUAGGUGGUGUUUAUAUGUAUUUUUCAUUUUUUUAAAAUUUUCAAUGUACAAUAAGAAAUUGAGAUGAAUAAGAAAUUGAGAUGUAUAAUGUAUAAUGAAUUUUAUAAAAGUAGGAUCACAUUUGUACGGUUAGAUUGAAACAUCUAUA
This is a long non-coding RNA of Arachis stenosperma, 1188 nucleotides long. RefSeq lists it as uncharacterized. The record is from RefSeq and is a predicted model, not a curated record. Lineage: Eukaryota; Viridiplantae; Streptophyta; Magnoliopsida; Fabales; Fabaceae. The transcript is spliced from 7 exons.